AACGAACGCUGGCGGCAUGCCUAACACAUGCAAGUCGAACGGAUGCAGCAAUGCAUCAGUGGCAGACGGGUGAGUAACACGUGGGAAUCUACCCAGUAGCCUGGCAUAACCGCGGGAAACUGCGGCUAAUACCGGAUACGCCCCUCGGGGGAAAGGAGCAAUCCACUAUUGGAGGAGCCCGCGUCCGAUUAGCUAGUUGGUGAGGUAACGGCUCACCAAGGCGACGAUCGGUAGCUGGUUUGAGAGAGCGACCAGCCACACUGGGACUGAGACACGGCCCAGACUCCUACGGGAGGCAGCAGUGGGGAUUAUUGGACAAUGGUGAAACCCUGUUCCAGCAAUGCCGCGUGGGUGAUGAAUGCCUUCGGUUUGUAAAGCCCUUUUGGCGGGGACGAUGAUGACGGUACCCGCAGAAGAAGCCCCGGCUAACUUCGUGCCAGCAGCCGCGGUAA
This 452-nucleotide ribosomal RNA is filed under the name uncultured bacterium. RNAcentral describes it as "partial 16S ribosomal RNA". It matches the Rfam family "Bacterial small subunit ribosomal RNA", at positions 29 to 523 of the family's 1533-position model. The record is from RNAcentral.